Molecule: ribosomal RNA, 465 nt
Filed under: Triticum aestivum (bread wheat)
Lineage: Eukaryota; Viridiplantae; Streptophyta; Magnoliopsida; Poales; Poaceae
Description: partial small subunit ribosomal RNA
Source: RNAcentral
AUGGCGCCUUCGGCGCCCCCUACUCCCGUUGAGUCUGCAGCCCCGUCAGUUAGCGCGGCGCACGCAACUGACCCUAGCUCCUUGACGGCCUCGACUGUCAUCCCGACGGGCUCUUGUUCGUCCUCACCCUCGGUAGAUCCACCCUCGCUGGCCCCACCGACACGCAUGGUCACCCGUGCUCGCGCUGGCAUCCAGUGCCCCAACACGCGCUACUCCGCAGACGAGUAUCUUCUCGCUGCCUCGACUUCUGCACCGUCCCCUCUCCAGUCGUCAACUCGAGCCGUGCUUCGCGAUCCGCACUGGCUCGCCACGAUGCAGGAGGAGUUUGACGCGCUCUUGCGUCAUGUAACGCCCUGGAUUCGAUGCGCCAGGUGUCUUCGAGUUAUUCGUCGUUGUUGCCAUGUCAUUUGCUUGCGUGUUGCAUUUUGCCAUGUCAUCAUCCGCAUUGCAUCCUCAUAUUUUUAA